This 286-nucleotide unclassified non-coding RNA is filed under the name Neoascochyta sp. RNAcentral's name for it is "partial contains 5.8S ribosomal RNA, internal transcribed spacer 2, and large subunit ribosomal RNA". The stretch from base 1 to 71 matches the Rfam family "5.8S ribosomal RNA", at positions 84 to 154 of the family's 154-position model. The record is from RNAcentral. Lineage: Eukaryota; Fungi; Ascomycota; Dothideomycetes; Pleosporales; Didymellaceae.
GUGAGUCAUCGAAUCUUUGAACGCACAUUGCGCCCCUUGGUAUUCCAUGGGGCAUGCCUGUUCGAGCGUCAUUUGUACCUUCAAGCUCUGCUUGGUGUUGGGUGUUUGUCCCGCCUUUGUGCGUGGACUCGCCUUAAAGCAAUUGGCAGCCGACGUAUUGUUUCGGAGCGCAGCACAAAUUGCGCUUUGUAGCUAUUACGACAGCAUCCAUCAAGCCUUUUUUCACGCUUGACCUCGGAUCAGGUAGGGAUACCCGCUGAACUUAAGCAUAUCAAUAAGCGGAGGA